CUGGUAUCAUCUAACACAAACCAGUAUCAAAAUGUGUUGUUAUCUUAUUUCCUAAGUUCUAUUAUCUCCUCGCCAUUUUUCUUCUGAUAGAUCCAUAAAUUCCUUCCUCUCUUACAACCUUUUUGGCCUUUCUCUUCUCUCACCAACACAUAAAUGGCAUCUUCUUCUAUGGGUUACUUAUAAAUGUUGAUUCCGUUUUAUGGUAGAUGUGUAAUUCACGUGUUUUUAUUUUGAAGAUACCACCAAGAGAGUGCUUGCUCCAAUCUUCAGUUGUAUUGUGCUUGAUUAUAAGAGGAGGAUGAUGUCGUUAAAGUCCUUGUGGUGGCACUCAAAAGUUUAAUGGUUGUUUUGCUUUGGUAGUUUGAACAUAAUCUUCUUGCAAUUUAGGUG
This 390-nucleotide long non-coding RNA is filed under the name Medicago truncatula (barrel medic). RNAcentral's name for it is "long non-coding RNA (MTRU_LNC007471)". Lineage: Eukaryota; Viridiplantae; Streptophyta; Magnoliopsida; Fabales; Fabaceae. The record is from RNAcentral.